Mycena crocata is the source of this 90-nucleotide non-coding RNA. NCBI's taxonomy places the organism in Eukaryota, Fungi, Basidiomycota, Agaricomycetes, Agaricales, Mycenaceae. The record is from the annotation of a GenBank genome assembly.
UCGGACGUCGUGCACGGCGCGCGCCUGCCCUUCUUAAGUGGAUUUCAACGCGUCAAGCAGGUGAUCUGGGUUCGACUCCCAGCGUCCGAA